UGUCUCGUUUAGUGUUCUUUUCUCUCUUUUCUUCUCUCUUCAAGGCUAAAUGGUUAGUGAAGCCAUUGUGUUAUGUUAGUGAAUUAUUCAGUGAGCUAUCUUGUGAAGACAUAGCGAGAUUGUUAGAAAUAUGUAACUCAUUUAUAUAUAGUAAUUAUCAAAAUAUACUAAAAGGAAAGAUUCCAACAGAAGAUUCCCUCCCUGAUAGUUCAUGGAGUACAUUAAAGGCAAUAUUAAGACAAAAUAUUAAUAAAUUUGGAAACAUUUACUAUAGAUUUGUAUCUAGAGACACAUUACUACUAUUUACAUUUUAUAGCUAUAGCUACAUAAUAAAA
Amphimedon queenslandica is the source of this 335-nucleotide long non-coding RNA. RefSeq lists it as uncharacterized. NCBI's taxonomy places the organism in Eukaryota, Metazoa, Porifera, Demospongiae, Haplosclerida, Niphatidae. The transcript is spliced from 3 exons. The record is from RefSeq and is a predicted model, not a curated record.